AGAUCAGGCCUGGCUGCCUCCGUGUCCACACCCUGACCUGCGGCUGAGGCCCAUUUCUGUCUCCCGCGGUGAUCCUACCUCCCAGCACGCUCCCAUGUAGCUGUUGAUUGUUCUCCUUCCCUUCCUCCCUUCCUCCCAUCCUUUCUCCCUCUUCCCUGUCUGUGAAUGGCAUUUCUGGAGUGUGAGAGAGGCCCGGGACCGCAGGUAUGUUUCCUGUCUGCCCGUUCUAAUCAAAGGCAGAUGCCUGCGGUGCGUCUGGCCUCGCAGAAGCGGAGAACCCAUCCUCGGAGAGGGGCCAGAGGAGAACUGUGUGCUCCUUUAUAGCUGCAUGCUCGGUGUUCCCCUAACAGGUUCCUGCUGGCACAAAGGGUCCCACCUUUGAAGACCUUUGGGUUUAAAUCCCAGCUCAGUUCCUAACCAGCUGUGUGACAUAGGAAAGUUGCUUAACCUCUCUGAGUCUCAGGAUCGCCAUCUGCAAAAUCAAAGGGCUGAUGGCAACAUCUUCUUCUCAGGACUCAUGGAAAAUUAAACGAGCGCUGCUUCCAAAGAUGUUUGUGCAGGGUGGAAACUCAGCACAGGGUCGUGUCCAUUUCACAGCCUUCCAAGGGCUGCAGCCUAAAUGUCUCCAGCCACGGGAGAGGAUGACAGCUGCCCUUCUGUGGCAGGCCUUGGAGUAAAACUCCCAAACCAUCCCCAGCCAGCAGAGGCUGCCCAGCCCAGCCCCUCCAGCAGGGCGGCUCCAUAGACUACAGGGCAAUACGGCCCAGAGGCUGUCCCUGUCCACUCCUGUUGCGCCAAGCUGGCUCCGGGAGGGGCUGGUGACUGGGAAAGAUGCUACAGACACAAGUUUGAUUUUUCAUUAAAUCCUCUAAACAUUGUGAAAGGAAAAUAAAUAUUGGGACCCCAAAAUCACUAAGCCAAAGGAUAAAGUCAAGCUGGGAACUGCUUAGGGCAAACCUGCCUCCCAUUCUAUUGCUAAAAAAAAAAGAUGGCUACUAAGAUUCAAAAGCUACAUACCUCCCUCACAAGGAAUUUCCUUCUGGACAAAUGACAGACAGAACUCAAAGUCAUCCCUCUGCUCGCCGAGAUAAAUGCAUAUCUGAUUGCCUCCUUUGGAAAGGCUCAUCAGAAACUCAAAAGAGUUUCACUGGGCUCCGUGGCUCAUGCUUGUAAUCCCAGCACUUUGGGAGGCCAAGGUGGGCGGAUCAUGAGGUCAGGAGAUCAAGACCAUCCUGGCUAAAACGGUGAAACCCCGUCUGUACCAAAAAAAUACAAAAAAAUUAGCCAGGCGUGGUGGCGGGUGCCUGUAGUCCCAGCUACUUGGGAGGCUGAGGCAGGAGAAUGGCGUGAACCCAGGAGGCGGAGCUUGCAGUAAGCCGAGAUUGCACCACCGCACUCCAGCCUGGGCGACAGAGCGAGACUCCAUCUCAAAAAAAAAAAAAAAGAAUGCAACCAUUUGUCUCUCACCUACCUAUGGCCUGGAAGCCCCUCCCUGCCUAGAGUUGUCCCGCCUUUCUGGACAGAACCGAUGUACAUCUUACACAUAUUGAUUGAUGUCUCAUGUCUCCCUAAAAUGUAUAUCAUAUGGUUUGGUUGUGUCCCCACCCAAAUCUCAUCUUGAAUUGUAGCUCCCACAGUUCUCAAGUGUUGUGGGAGGGACCCAGUGGGAGAUGAUUGAAUCAUGGGGCCGGUUUCCCCCAUACUGUUCUCGUGGUAGUGAAUAAGUCUCACGAGAUCUGAUGGUUUUAGAAGGGGUUUCCUUUUUGGCUUGGCUCUCAUUUCCCUCUUUGCCUGACACCAUGUAUGACAUGCCUUUCACCUUCCAUGAUUAUGAGGCCUCCCCAGCCAUGUGGAACUGUGUGAGUCCUUUAAACCUCUUUUUCUUUAUAAAUUGCCCAGAUUCGGGUAUGUCUUUAUCGGCAGCAUGAAAACGGUCUAAUACAUGUAUAAAACCAAGCUGUGCCCUGACCACCGUGGGCAAAUGUCAUCAGGACCUCCUGAGGUUGUGUCAUAGGCAUGCGUCCUU
This is a long non-coding RNA of Homo sapiens (human), 2026 nucleotides long. The record is from Ensembl. NCBI's taxonomy places the organism in Eukaryota, Metazoa, Chordata, Mammalia, Primates, Hominidae.